Molecule: long non-coding RNA, 294 nt
Organism: Patiria miniata (bat star)
Lineage: Eukaryota; Metazoa; Echinodermata; Asteroidea; Valvatida; Asterinidae
Exons: 3
Source: RefSeq, a predicted model, not a curated record
AGAUACCAAUCGUUGGUGCCCGUUUCGCGUUUCUCGCCGGUUCGUUUAUCACGGGAGGAUGUAACAUUCUGUUCGGGUUUAUUAUCGACAUGCCCACAAACGCUACUUUCACUGGGUUCAGUUUCGCCAUUCGCAUUUUAGAGGGGCUCGGCUCGGCUGCUGUGCUGACGUCAUCAGCGGCCAUCGUAGCUUCUGUAUGCCCUGACGAUGUUGGCAAGGCUGUGAGUCUGGUUGAGACGACUAGCGGCUUUUCUUUAGCAAUAGGGCCAGCAGUAGGCGGCUUGCUGUAUGAGG